Molecule: ribosomal RNA, 467 nt
Filed under: uncultured bacterium
Lineage: Bacteria
Description: partial 16S ribosomal RNA
Rfam family: Bacterial small subunit ribosomal RNA
Source: RNAcentral
GACGAACGCUGGCGGCGUGCUUAACACAUGCAAGUCGAACGGUGAAGCAGAGCUUGCUCUGUGGAUCAGUGGCGAACGGGUGAGUAACACGUGAGUAACCUGCCCUUGACUCUGGGAUAAGCGUUGGAAACGACGUCUAAUACCGGAUACGAGCUGAGACCGCAUGGUCAUCAGUUGGAAAGAUUUUUUGGUCAAGGAUGGACUCGCGGCCUAUCAGCUUGUUGGUGGGGUAAUGGCUCACCAAGGCGACGACGGGUAGCCGGCCUGAGAGGGUGACCGGCCACACUGGGACUGAGACACGGCCCAGACUCCUACGGGAGGCAGCAGUGGGGAAUAUUGCACAAUGGGCGCAAGCCUGAUGCAGCAACGCCGCGUGAGGGAUGACGGCCUUCGGGUUGUAAACCUCUUUUAGUAGGGAAGAAGCGAAAGUGACGGUACCUGCAGAAAAAGCACCGGCUAACUACGUG